This 497-nucleotide ribosomal RNA is filed under the name uncultured bacterium. RNAcentral's name for it is "partial 16S ribosomal RNA". It matches the Rfam family "Bacterial small subunit ribosomal RNA", at positions 28 to 507 of the family's 1533-position model. The record is from RNAcentral.
GAUGAACGCUGGCGGCGUGCCUAAUACAUGCAAGUCGAGCGAACAGACGAGGAGCUUGCUCCUCUGACAUUAGCGGCGGACGGGUGAGUAACACGUGGAUAACCUACCUAUAAGACUGGGAUAACUUCGGGAAACCGGAGCUAAUACCGGAUAAUAUAUUGAACCGCAUGGUUCAAUAGUGAAAGACGGUUUUGCUGUCACUUAUAGAUGGAUCCGCGCCGCAUUAGCUAGUUGGUAAGGUAACGGCUUACCAAGGCAACGAUGCGUAGCCGACCUGAGAGGGUGAUCGGCCACACUGGAACUGAGACACGGUCCAGACUCCUACGGGAGGCAGCAGUAGGGAAUCUUCCGCAAAGGGCGAAAGCCUGACGGAGCAACGCCGCGUGAGUGAUGAAGGUCUUCUGAUCGUAAAACUCUGUUAUUAGGGAAGAACAAAUGUGUAAGUAACUAUGCACGUCUUGACGGUACCUAAUCAGAAAGCCACGGCUAACUACGUG